CUGCUUCCAGGAAAAGCCUCUAAGCAUCAGGUAACAUCAAAUCGUACCCCAAACCGACACAGGUGGUCAGGUAGAGAAUACCAAGGCGCUUGAGAGAACUCGGGUGAAGGAACUAGGCAAAAUGGUGCCGUAACUUCGGGAGAAGGCACGCUGAUAUGUAGGUGAAGUCCCUCGCGGAUGGAGCUGAAAUCAGUCGAAGAUACCAGCUGGCUGCAACUGUUUAUUAAAAACACAGCACUGUGCAAACACGAAAGUGGACGUAUACGGUGUGACGCCUGCCCGGUGC
This 286-nucleotide ribosomal RNA is filed under the name Escherichia coli. RNAcentral's name for it is "partial 23S ribosomal RNA". It matches the Rfam family "Bacterial large subunit ribosomal RNA", at positions 1602 to 1869 of the family's 2925-position model. The record is from RNAcentral. Lineage: Bacteria; Pseudomonadati; Pseudomonadota; Gammaproteobacteria; Enterobacterales; Enterobacteriaceae.